Molecule: ribosomal RNA, 492 nt
Filed under: uncultured bacterium
Lineage: Bacteria
Description: partial 16S ribosomal RNA
Rfam family: Bacterial small subunit ribosomal RNA
Source: RNAcentral
AGUGAACGCUGGCGGUAGGCCUAACACAUGCAAGUCGAACGGCAGCACAGUAAGAGCUUGCUCUUACGGGUGGCGAGUGGCGGACGAGUGAGGAAUACAUCGGAAUCUACUUUUUCGUGGGGGAUAACGUAGGGAAACUUACGCUAAUACCGCAUACGACCUACGGGUGAAAGCAGGGGAUCUUCGGACCUUGCGCGAUUGAAUGAGCCGAUGUCGGAUUAGCUAGUUGGCGGGGUAAAGGCCCACCAAGGCGACGAUCCGUAGCUGGUCUGAGAGGAUGGUCAGCCACACUGGAACUGAGACACGGUCCAGACUCCUACGGGAGGCAGCAGUGGAGAAUAUUGGACAAUGGGCGCAAGCCUGAUCCAGCCAUACCGCGUGGGUGAAGAAGGCCUUCGGGUUGUAAAGCCCUUUUGUUGGGAAAGAAAAGCAGCAGGUUAAUACCCCGCUGUUCUGACGGUACCCAAAGAAUAAGCACCGGCUAACUUCGUG